GAUGAUAGAGAAAAUAUCAUGCAAACAUAAUUUGCCUUCUGUGAAAACAGAUGCAGAGAAAAAAAAGGCUCAAAGAAGAACGAAUGACUUGCUUUGGAGACAUCUGAGAAGUCCACUGAAAGAGCUAAUGAUGGGAUCAAGGGGCAUUUGUAUAUGAAUUCAACCGUAUUAUAUCAAGAAAGGCUGCUUUUGCAACAGAUGCUUUGAGAUCACCACAAUAUGCUUGCACUGAACUUCUAGCCACAGGGUUACAUGUGUGUUUUGGACUGGUUAGGAGAUGGCAAACAGCAGAGUGGCCAGACCAGCUCCAGCCCGAAAAGGGUGACGACCAGACACCAAGAGCUCCUGUCUCGAUGUCGUCUGUGGUCAAGCACUAACUGCAUUAAAUUAGACUGCUUUUAAUUGAGGAUUGACUGGUCUGAGAGCAGCUGGUGCUUGGGUCAGUCAAGAUAGCAAAGCCUGAAUCCCCCAGGCCCCAACUGCAAUUUCAGCCCUGCAGGUCCUGGAAUGGACUGGGAGGGAGAAAAGGCCAGAGCAUGCUGGGAAUGCAUGGCUGAUGAUUAGCAAUAAGAGUUUAUAGGAAGGCUUAGACGAGAUUUGGCUUGUUUGCUUGAGUGGAAAGUGUAACUCACACACUCAGAGUCUGUAGACUCAGUGUAAAUCCGCUUAAGGUUUGCACCUUGCUGAAAAUCUCCUCAAUCGACACAAUUAAUCGCUUCAUUAAUUAACAAUCGCUGCACGAUACACCACCCCGACUGCGUCCUGGCAAGCGUGCAACUUACAAGCGACCCUUCUUUUUCUUCUUAUGUUCCCUUCUUUCACUCUUCCCACCCGCUCUGAUACUCCUCUUUUUAUCUUUUUCUUCUGCACGCCUUUUCUUUUCCUUCUCUAAGCAGCAUUGCCGAUGCAGACUCUGCUGUUUUAGCAUGAACAGACACACUUUUCUUUCAGCAAGCAGGUCAGAGCGCUCUGCUAACAUUUGUUAUCUAUAAUCCUGCAGGUCCCCACGCAAAAAGAGCGUAGUUAACUCUUGCAAAGCCCUAAUCCCUCCAUUUCUUUUAGAUGCGCUUUCUCUCUCAUGCUCUUUUCUUUUCCAUCUUUGGGGUGGGGAAGUGUUUUUUAAGAGGAGGCAUCUUUGACUGUGGCCCUUAUUUUUGAGUUCUUCUGAAUUACCAAACUUCUUUAACCUUCAAAAUUAUCUACCUUUUCUGCCAAUUAAAAAUAUUUAGAUUUUUUUGUUUUUUAUCACACUCCAAUGCUGAAGAAUCGUUUCGGGCUGCCACCAGCCGCCCAUGCUUUUAUGACAGGCUUUGUUGAUUUGUUUUUCAUACUCCUUGUGUGCAGAAAUCUGUGUAUUCAUACUGUAUGCAUUUACGGUUCAACUGUCGGUGUCAGUUAAUCUGGCUUGUGCUGUUGAUUUAUCUCAGUAACAUUCAAGGAUCUGUGCAAAAAAAAAAAAUUUUUUUUUUCUUUUGCCAUCACUCUCAAUUAUAUAUGCGCUGAUUUGAUUUGAGUUUGAUACUAUGGAAAUUAUGUAUAUGAAUGCUCUCGUGCAGUUCUGCUGCAUUUUGUCUUGGUCAUGCACACCCACACAUGUAGUGAGCACGUUGAAGUGUGUGUGUGUGUGUGUGUGUGUGUGUGUGUGUGUGUGUGUGUUGUAUGGUGAGUAAUAGCAGGGCUCAGUGGAAGGCUGUAGUGUUGACAGCAUGGUAAACGAUGCAGCCUGCCUACUGCAGCAGCUAGCCUGCUAAUCACACACACCACAUGAUAAUGAGAACAACCCCUGUCCUCCAACACACACACAUACGUCUAACCACAGCAAACAGACACAAACUCCCUCUCACACACACUGACCCAUACUUCUACAGACAAAUGGAAGACAUAAUGGUAGCCGGAGGCAGUGCACGGUGAAUCUCUCUAUCUCUCUCUCUUACACUCUCGAACCAAGCACAUCUCUAUCGCUUUACUGUCCUUACACACAUACAUACACUCUUCUCUCUCAUACUAACAUCUUUCUGUCAGAAAAGACUCGGACUUGAGCCACACUUACACUAAGAAAGUGACUUGAGAUUUGAUGUAGAAUCACAGGCAGUUAAGAUGGGACUUCAGAGACUUGUAAGUUUUUAGGUCUACAAGGCAAUGUGUUUUCUUGAAACAACCCAACAUUUUAUAGAGUGUUUGAUCAGAAAUACAAUAAAAACAAUAAAAAGUAUUAUUGGAAAAUAUUA
This is a long non-coding RNA of Cyprinus carpio (common carp), 2228 nucleotides long. Lineage: Eukaryota; Metazoa; Chordata; Actinopteri; Cypriniformes; Cyprinidae. The record is from Ensembl.